RNAcentral lists this ribosomal RNA (868 nucleotides) under uncultured archaeon. RNAcentral's name for it is "bacterial SSU rRNA". It matches the Rfam family "Archaeal small subunit ribosomal RNA", at positions 1 to 878 of the family's 1478-position model. The record is from RNAcentral.
CUCCGGUGGAUCCUGCCGGACCCGACUGCUAUCAGAGUGGGACUAAGCCAUGCGAGUCAACAUAGCAAUAUGUGGCAUACGGCUCAGUAACACGUAGUCAACAUGCCCAGGGGACGUGGAUAACCUCGGGAAACUGAGGAUAAACCGCGAUAGGUCAUCACUUCUGGAAUGGGUAAUGACUUAAAUCUAUAUGGCCCCUGGAUUGGACUGCGGCCGAUCAGGCUGUUGGUGAGGUAAUGGCCCACCAAACCUGUAACCGGUACGGGCUCUGAGAGGAGGAGCCCGGAGAUGGGCACUGAGACAAGGGCCCAGGCCCUAUGGGGCGCAGCAGGCGCGAAACCUCUGCAAUAGGCGAAAGCUUGACAGGGUUACUCUGAGUGAUUUCCGUUAAGGAGAUCUUUUGGCACCUCUAAAAAUGGUGCAGAAUAAGGGGUGGGCAAGUCUGGUGUCAGCCGCCGCGGUAAUACCAGCACCCCGAGUGGUCGGGACGUUUAUUGGGCCUAAAGCAUCCGUAGCCGGUUCUACAAGUCUUCCGUUAAAUCCACCUGCUUAACAGAUGGGCUGCGGAAGAUACUAUAGAGCUAGGAGGCGGGAGAGGCAAGCGGUACUCGAUGGGUAGGGGUAAAAUCCGUUGAUCCAUUGAAGACCACCAGUGGCGAAGGCGGCUUGCCAGAACGCGCUCGACGGUGAGGGAUGAAAGCUGGGGGAGCAAACCGGAUUAGAUACCCGGGUAGUCCCAGCUGUAAACGAUGCAGACUCGGUGAUGAGUUGGCUUAUUGCUAACUCAGUGCCGCAGGGAAGCCGUUAAGUUUGCCGCCUGGGGAGUACGGUCGCAAGACUGAAACUUAAAGGAAUUGGCGGGGGAGCA